Molecule: transfer RNA, 87 nt
Filed under: Deltaproteobacteria bacterium
Lineage: Bacteria; Pseudomonadati; Myxococcota; Myxococcia
Description: tRNA-Ser
Rfam family: tRNA
About the family: Transfer RNA (tRNA) molecules are approximately 80 nucleotides in length. Their secondary structure includes four short double-helical elements and three loops (D, anti-codon, and T loops). Further hydrogen bonds mediate the characteristic L-shaped molecular structure. tRNAs have two regions of fundamental functional importance: the anti-codon, which is responsible for specific mRNA codon recognition, and the 3' end, to which the tRNAs corresponding amino acid is attached (by aminoacyl-tRNA synthetases). tRNAs cope with the degeneracy of the genetic code in two manners: having more than one tRNA (with a specific anti-codon) for a particular amino acid; and 'wobble' base-pairing, i.e. permitting non-standard base-pairing at the 3rd anti-codon position.
Source: RNAcentral
GGAGAGGUGGCCGAGUGGUCGAAGGCGCUCGCCUCGAAAGCGAGUGUGCCCGAAAGGGUACCGUGAGUUCGAAUCUCACCCUCUCCG